CUUUAGAUUAUGUCUUCAAUUAAUCGAAAAGUUGAAAUUCAAUUAGUAAAGUAAAAGAAAUUAAAAAAAAAAAGAAAGUUUGGCAUCAAAAGAGGUAAUUUGUGCAAAUUUUCCUUCUUUCGAGAGAAUUGAUUUUACUUAAAAAGUCUCAAAUAUCUCUGUGUACGAAUUUUUUUGCUUAGGAACAAUAUUCUAUGCAUUGUAGAAUUUAUAGCUAGACCGACUACUUCAACAACAAUUAUUCAUGAAAUCAUAUUGAUAUAGUAUUAAGAGUCAAUUGUUGAACCCAUAAAAACAUUAUAACUGGGAAUAUAUUUUUUAUCCAAAACUUAAAAAGAAGCAAUUAAUGCAAAUGAUCAAAUUUAGAGUUGCCCAAAAUGUUGCAACUCAGAAGCACAAACGGCAAACCUCCCGUCGGCGUCGAAUAUCUCUUCGUUUUGCCCAAUCGCCAUAUCCAGCAGUAGUAAUAUGAACUUUCUGAUCAAUGUCGACAAUGAAUCGGAACUCAGAAGCACAAUUUUCUUCCUUUUGCUCAAUCGCCAAAUCCAACAAUAGGAGUAUGAACAAGGCCUUCACAUUCUGAUCAAAUCUGAGUACUAGACAGAAGAAAGCAAAUCAAAUUUGAGAAAGAAGAGGCACAGUAGUUGGUCGAGGACGAAAAUCAAACAUAUGAUUAUCUUAUAUUCAUGUGGUCAAGAAGUCACAAUUCAAACUGUGAAGUCAAGAGUUUGGAUCUAAAUGGCUUCUAUUGGUCACUUUAAUACACUUGGCUACCUUGGUCUUCUAUGAUCAUGUGAAACAGUUCUGGUAUUUGCUGUCCAAGAUGCAUUAUAAAUUGCUGUGAUCAUUUGGUCAACGUUGCCUAUGCUACUCCUGAACUAAUUAGCGAUUCAAUUUAGUAAAUUCACGGAUUCUCUUCUGAUAACGGGCUCUUGAUGUUAAAGAUGCUUUAUUAUCCAUGGUUUGAUACUGGUAGAUGAGUCUUUUGAGUAUAUAGGUACUUGUUGUAUACAAGGUUUAAAACUUGGUAAAGUUGUCUCCAUGUGACCUAUAGGUCACAGAUUCGAUCCGUGUAAGCAGCCACUAAUGCUUGCAUUAGGAUAGGUUGUCUACAUCACAUCCCUUGGGGUUCAGCCUUCCCCAGAUCCUGCUAACGCAGGAUGCUUUGUACAUGGGCUACCCUUUUAUCCUUUGUCAACAUACGGACACUUGCAGUAUUAUGGUUACUUUCAUGUCAUUCCUUCCAAUGGAGUUCCAUAAGCUACUAUUUUAAUGCUUAAUAAUUUGGAGUUCAUUUUCAUUUCUUGUUUGGUUGUCUUUGGUGUACAAUAUUUACACACAACAUAGUGGAGGCUAUAGUUGGUGAUCUAGGAACUAAAUCUACUCCACAAAGAAGUUCCUUUGUUAUCUCUGCUUUGUGCAGGUACAAAUUUUGCAGGUAAUAAACUAUUUUGUACAUGUAAAUUUCACCACCAUCUGUCACUGUUUCUCGUACUUGUCGUUAUAUUUCCUCACCAACUCACUAGAACGAAAGA
Molecule: long non-coding RNA, 1535 nt
Organism: Solanum tuberosum (potato)
Lineage: Eukaryota; Viridiplantae; Streptophyta; Magnoliopsida; Solanales; Solanaceae
Exons: 3
Source: RefSeq, a predicted model, not a curated record